Molecule: ribosomal RNA, 253 nt
Filed under: uncultured bacterium
Lineage: Bacteria
Description: partial 16S ribosomal RNA
Rfam family: Bacterial small subunit ribosomal RNA
Source: RNAcentral
UACGUAGGGGGCAAGCGUUGUCCGGAUUUAUUGGGCGUAAAGAGCGUGUAGGCGGCCAGACAAGUCUGCUGUGAAAACUCGAGGCUCAACCUCGAGCUGUCGGUGGAAACUGUCUGGCUAGAGUCCGGAAGAGGAGAGUGGAAUUCCACGUGUAGCGGUGAAAUGCGUAGAGAUGUGGAGGAACACCAGUGGCGAAGGCGACUCUUUGGUCUGUAACUGACGCUGAGGCGCGAAAGCGUGGGGAGCAAACAGG